Molecule: ribosomal RNA, 343 nt
Filed under: uncultured bacterium
Lineage: Bacteria
Description: bacterial SSU rRNA
Rfam family: Bacterial small subunit ribosomal RNA
Source: RNAcentral
AGGGUUUGAUUAUGGCUCAGGAUGAACGCUGGCGGCGUGCUUAACACAUGCAAGUCGAACGGGAAACUUUUCAUUGAAGCUUCGGCAGAUUUGGUCUGUUUCUAGUGGCGGACGGGUGAGUAACGCGUGGGUAACCUGCCUUAUACAGGGGGAUAACAACCAGAAAUGGUUGCUAAUACCGCAUAAGCGCACAGGACCGCAUGGUCCGGUGUGAAAAACUCCGGUGGUAUAAGAUGGACCCGCGUUGGAUUAGCUAGUUGGCAGGGUAACGGCCUACCAAGGCGACGAUCCAUAGCCGGCCUGAGAGGGUGAACGGCCACAUUGGGACUGAGACACGGCCCAG